RNAcentral lists this long non-coding RNA (6014 nucleotides) under Sus scrofa (pig). Its description in RNAcentral is "lncRNA (ENSSSCG00000054039.1)". The record is from RNAcentral. Lineage: Eukaryota; Metazoa; Chordata; Mammalia; Artiodactyla; Suidae.
UAUCCCUGGUCUGAAAUUUCAUCAUUAGAGUUACCAGUUGAUGAGAUAAUAAGGCAAUAGGAGGGGCAGCGAUUUUAGAAAUGAAUGCUAAUACACAUAUCCAUGUACACACAAUACAAAAACUCAUUUAUCUCACCAAAAGGAUGUUUAUUCUCCAGACACUGCCAAUUUUCUUAGCCCAGUUUGGUCUUUUAUGAUGAGAUUACUCUCUGGAUUCCCAGCUAGGAACUGCUUGCACAAUGCCAUUACAUUACGUAGUUGCUUGUUGACUGAGUGAAUGAAUGAGAGGAUGAGAUACAGACAAGUUCAGUUCCACUGUGGAGCAGGAAAAAUGGUUUGUGAAUCCUUAAGGAGCCAGAAAAAGCAUGAAAAAAAAAAAAAAGGUAGAAGUAAAGAGGUGAAGGUAUGGAGGAGAAAGACCCCACUGCUCCUACCUGGUACUGAAUUUACCCAAAUGGGAUAUCCUAGGAGAGUUUCUGGGCAGAAGAGGAUUGAAUAGGGAAUCUCAGGUACAUGUAGUAGAUAAUUUCACAUUGAUAUUUGGGUAUUUAACUCAGUGAUUUUUAACUUUUAACCUUGGCUACACAUUAGAAUCUCUGGGAAUAGAACCUAGACAUCGGUAUUUUUAAGUUUCCCAGAUUAUUCUGAUUUGAAUAAGUUGAGAUACACUGAGUCAUUUUUCUAUGAUAGACUGUUUUUGCAGUUUAAAGACAAUGUUAUCCCUAGAGAAGAAACUGUAGGUUCUAGAUCAAUAGUUCGCAAACUUUGUUACAUAUUAGAAUUACCUGGAAAGUUAUUAACAAUCCCAACAUUCUUGCCACACCCCAUACCAACUAAAUGUGAAGGUGGGAGCCAGGCAUGGGUAUUUCUAAAGGAUCACCCUUUGUUCUAAUAUACAGCAAAGUUUGGGAGCCAAUGACCCUAGACGGUUAAUUUAAAGAACUGGGGAUAUUUAUAUUGCUUUAGUACUCACAAGCAGUUAACUAUAAAACUUGCAAUUUUACAUAAGAAAGAAAUGUACUCAUUAUUGAUAUCUGAAGACCUGUUUUUCUCUGAACAAGGACCUAUAACAGAGAUUAUUGGAUAUAUAGGAUAUAUUUGGCAUGCACACUUUUUUUCUAAGACCUCCACACCAGAAAGUUAUUUUUUCAGGAUGCCAUUUUUACCAUAAAUAUAAGCUUUGGUGAAAGGUAUGUUUGAAAAAUAAGGAAGAGUACAUGAAAUGCAUAUAAUAUUUUAGAGUGGUUUAUAAAUUGCAGUUAUUACAAAGAUCAUCAUUUAGUUUGCACUAGCCCAGAAUUUGCUCACUUGACAAUAAUUCAUAAUAGUAAUUUGGAUUUGAGAUAAGGAAUCAAAAAUUUAAUUCCCCCUUUCUAGUGCACUUUUCAUGUAAAAAGUAUCAACUAUCAUCUGACUUCUCAGAAAUAUGGACAAAUAAUCCUUCUUGCCAUGCUCAUAAAGAGUUAUUGUUAAGAUUAAUUACUUAAUGAUUAUUAAACUAGGUAGGUGAGUAUUAAGAGUUAUUUUUCUCCUCAGAAGAAUUAGCAGACAUAUUUUGCUUGAGGCAAUUACUGUAUUAUCUUGUUUUUCUGAAGUGAGACCUUCCAUUUUGUUUUAAUUGUUUUUUAUUUCCUUCAAUAAUUCAGGGAGGAGAAGGGGGAGACUUAUCAAAGAAGUCUCUGGAGAAUAAACUCUAAAAAUGUAAUUAAUAAUGUUAAGCAUUCUAAAAUCCUUGAAUUGAAUAUACCAAAGAGAAAGAUCUGUCACCUAUCUUUCUAUCAUCUACUAAUUGAUCGAUCAAUCAUUUGUCUAUUUUUCCUAUCUAUCUAGGAUAGCCACUCCCAAUUUUAGCCAAAGGGAGGUAUAAAAACCAGAGGAGUGUUACUAAUAUAGCUAAUACAACACCAAAUAUAAAAUCAAAGUCAUUGCUUUGACCAAGAUAACCUUGUUGUUCUCAGCUUCACUAAGCUUUAGACAGAUUUUUUUUCUUGGCUAUGGGUCUCUGACCUCCAGUUUCUUAGAGAAUUUACUUCAGAAAUCUUGCAAUUGUAAAUUCUUUCUCUCCCCCUUUGAAAUGUAUAUAAACUUUGAGGUCUUUUGUUAGUUUUACUACCCAGGAGAUGCCUUUCUCAAGGACCUGGGAACUAUCACUUUGAAAUUAAACAUUAAAAGAGAUAGGGCCUCUAUCUUUCAGUCUCUGUGGGAAGGUAGGAGCCUAACUUCUUUGAAAGCAGAUUACCAAACACAGAUGGCCUAAUCCCAGAAGAAAACAUUGCAAACUCAAGAAUAACUAUGUGCUCAACACAUCCCACGAGUCAACCCUCUUCAUUGGCCUCCAGUACUUUUCCACAAGCUCCCCUCAGCACUUCAAAUCCCUCACGUCUUUUGUUUAGGGGAAUUGAUUUCAGUUUCUCUUCUCUAAUACAAUAGCCUUGAAUAAAGUCUAUCAUGACUGUUGAACUUUGUUCAGUGCAAUAUUUACUUUCAGAGCCUAAACUAAAAUCUAACACUUCUUAAAAUGGCUAGGACAUACUCACAUUUCUAUCAGUAUUCUACUACAAUAUCAGGAAAACACAAGUAUUUCCUUGUCACAAAUAUCCUCCAGAAAGAGUGAUUCCUUAAUGAAGAGGGCUGGAGAACUUGAACUUAUGAGGUGUUGACUACCUAUUUUUUAGUAAUGUUUUCUAAAAUCUUUUAAAAUUUAGGCAGAUAAUAAUUUGCAUUCCUGUGUUAAUCUCAAGUUUUUUUACACUUUUUAUUUUUAGCAUUUUUUUUUUCUUUUUGUCUUUUUGUCUUUUCUAGGGCCACAUCCAUGGCAUUUGGAGGUUCCCAGGCUAGAGGUUUAAUCGGAGCUGGAGCUGUCAGCCUAGGCCAGAGCCACAGCAAUGCGGGAUCCGAGCCUGCGUCUGCGACCCACACCACAGCUCAUGGCAAUGCCAGAUCCUUAACCCAUUGAGCAAGGCCAGGGAUCAAACCCACAACCUCAUGGUUCCCAGUUGAAUUCGUUAACCACUGAGCCACGACGGGAACUCCCCUUUAGCAUUUCUUAAGAGUAUUUUUUUUUCUUCCUUUCCACAUCAAAUUUAAGUUCUCAUGGGCAUACUGUUUUCCUGACAGAGUGGUUGUGAACAAAUAGAUUUCUCUUAUUUUGCAUAUAGGAUUUCUUUUUUCUUGCUCUUUCCUUUUCCAUUUUCUUUUUCAUGAAUGCAAAGGAAUAGCCACAGAUUCUUGUGCUAUGAUUUAGGAGUCACUGAUGAUAUAAAGGAUUGCAUAUAUGUGUUUAAUGCAAAUUUUCAUUAUACCGUUAGGCCCUUAGGAACAAAACAUAGCAUUUUCCCAGAAAAAAAAGUGUAUCGUGAAGCUAACUUGAACUUGAGGAAUCCUACUUGCAAGGACCCCUUCAAAGACAUUAUGUAAUUUUAUAUUAUUCUUCUUGAGGACGGUUUCCAGAAAAAUAGGAGUUUCAGGAGGAACAAAACUUGGUUUAGUUGUUGUUUUUCCCCACAUCAAUGGAAAUAAGUCUUUAGUCUAUAGCCCCAGGGACAAAAGCAUUUUUAGUCCAAGAGUACUCUUCCUCCCUCACUGACUUUAAAGACAUUCCUCUGGUUUUCUUUAGCUGAAAUGUGCUAUCAUUGUUUUACAACAUUGUAAUAUGCUAAUUUUGAAGUUACUAUCUUUGUGUAAGGUAAUAAGUGAGUGAAAAACUCAAAUGCUAACAUCUGCUGUGGCAUUUCAGUUAUAAACCAAAUGUGUGUAUAAUAUUCUCUUUGGUAAGUGAAUUAACAUUUUCACAUAACCAUGAAAGAUAAAAUUUUAAUAAUCUCCCUUGGAGUUGUCUCUUUGAAGUCAUGUGCAAAAUAUUAAGUGAGAAUUCUAACAGAACACUCUUCCUCUUUCUUUCAAGAUUUUUGAAGUUUUCAAAGACAGAGUGUGAAUACCUUGUCGUCCCUCUCAGCUCACCUGGUGUUAUAGCCUUUUAGAGAGGCAGCAAUUUCCUUAGAGUAGAUCGAAGGCUACAAAGGAAUGCCUCUAAUUCCAGAGAACCUAAGGUUCUUGGUCAUUUGUUGGUACUGCUAAAUGGAAUACUACUUUUUCUCAGAUAUUUUUCAAUGCCUGGAAAACAUUCUAACUUUUUCUUUCAAUUAUCUUUUCAACCUCUUUAUGGUGGGUCACUCUCUCUUGGAAGAACAAAAAUUCCCACUAUUGUAUGCUAAUGUCUUAAUGAAAAGUAUUUGAUUUCUCACAUUACAUUAUCACUCCAACAUGUUGAUUUUAGUAAAAUGAAUCUGGCUUGGAUCUCAUCUAAAAAUGUUAAUAAUGGAAUGUUUGGGGACAUCAUCCCAUUUAAGGUCAGGCAGAAGGAACAAAGGAGGGGCCCUUGGGAAGAUCUCCUAACUUACAGCAUUCAGGGGGCAAGCAGGAGGUCUAAGCUGCUGGAGGCAAUAGCAAAAGUGAUAGGAGAUGAGGCCAGGAAAUAAGAAGAAAGGCAGACUGGAAGACAUUACAAGGCUUUGGGUAAAUCAGUAACAUAAUCAUGAUCAUAUUUUAGAAGGAUCACUGGGUACCUUGGAGGCUAGACCACACAAAAGCAAGCGUGGACAUAAAGGAAGCUGUUUAAUUAUUCCUGGUAAGAGAGAAGAAUGGCUUGAGGUAGGUAGUAGCUGUGGUGGAGUAAGAGGUAUUAUAUUUAUUACAUUUCUAAGCAAUAACCAACAGAAUUUGCCAAAAGACAGAGAGGGGUAAAUAAUGAAUACUACGUUUUCUGCCUAAAUACCUGGUUGAAUGGAUUUAUCACAUUCUGAGACAAGGAAAGCUGUAGGUUUAGGAAGUCUAAAUAGAAAAACAAGAGUUUGGAUCAAGGCAUGCAACUUUCAGAUACCUACUAGAUGUCUAAGAAAGAAACAGAGGAAACAUUUUGUUAAAUGAGAGUAGAGUUGAGGGGACAGGUCUAGAGCUGUGAAUUAAAUUGUCUCCAGCAUAAAGAUAGUAUAUAAAGCCAGAGGACUGCUGAUUACCUAGGGACUGAGCAUAAAUCUGGACUGAGCCAAGCCAACACUCUAGCACUGAGACAAUUUGAGGUUUACGUCAGUCAGUCUAUAGUGCUUAUUGCCAGACCUUCCUUUGUAAAAGGACUUCUCUGCUAAGUUUCUAACCUUGAUUCAUCUCCUAUUCAUUUGUAAUUCAACAUUUUUUUUUCUUCAGGAAAAGUAAACCAAGCCUUUUUUAUAGCUGAGAAAAUCUUUUGGGUGACUUGAUGAAUAAAUGAAUAUUUGGUUGAAUUUACAAUAUUACCAUUUAUAUGUGAUUUUUCUCAACUCCAUAAAAUUCUCUACAGAAUGAAAUUCUAAAAGCAACUAGAUUUUUAUUUCCCUGUAUAUAGUUGAUAUCUUCUGCUUGCAUGCUUGUAAGAUUCGCACAUACAUACAUAUAACUCACAGGCUAAAUAAUGCACCCCCAAAAGACAGGCACUUCCCAUUCCCCGAAACUUGUAAAUGUCACUUAAUAUUGCAUAAAAUAACUUUGCAGAAGUGAUUAAGUUGAAGAUCUUGAGGGGGCGGAUAAUAUUGGAUUAACCAGGUGCACAAUAAAUGCAAUCACAUGUAUCCUUAUAAAAGAAAGGCUGAGAGAGAUUGGACACACAGAAGAGGAAAAGGCAAUGUGACCACAAAGGCAAAGUUUGGAGUGAUGCCGUCACAAGCCGAGGAACACCUGCAGACAUUAGAAGAAAAGAGACAAGGAACAAAUUCUUCCCAGGACUGACACCUCGAUUUUGACACAAUUAAACUGAUUUCAAAUUCCUAAACCCCAGAACUGUGAAAGAAUAUGUUUCCAUUGUUUAAACCAUCAAGUUGGUAUUAAUGUAUUACAGCAGCCAAAAUAAACAAAUAUAUAUAUAUAUAUCACCAAGCUAUAUCUAAAUAGUGAUAGUUUUAUUUGGCUUUUUUUUUAACUUUAUUGAAGUAUAGUUGAUUUAUAACGUUUGGAUAUCUCUGCUGUACAAUAAAAUGAUUGUC